This is a long non-coding RNA of Mauremys mutica (yellowpond turtle), 382 nucleotides long. RefSeq lists it as uncharacterized. The transcript has 3 exons. NCBI's taxonomy places the organism in Eukaryota, Metazoa, Chordata, Testudines, Geoemydidae. The record is from RefSeq and is a predicted model, not a curated record.
GGUGGAUAGACUUCAGAAUCCUGUAUGUUGAGGAUGGAUUCUCAUAAACAAAAAGCACAGAUUCCUGUGAUCAGUAUUCAGCUCAAGGCUAGAUCCAGCCCAGAGAUGUGUUGAAACCAUGCCUGUUUUCUUCAUCAAAGAGUAAAUUAACCUGUGAAAUGGAAAGGGGAAGUCUGUGUUGAAGUUGGAAAGGAUGAACAUAUCAGGGCAUGCAACACAGUAAAACCACUUUCAAGGAUGAAAAUUGCCUCUUGUGAACAGAAGAGAAAAUAAGAAAUAGAGAACACACAACUGUCCUGGAUGAGGAACUGGAUGAAGGGUCUGAAAUGAACCUCACUUGGUGGAAGUUGCUGUUUUUCCUUUUAUAACAUCAUGCAGCUCC